Long non-coding RNA from Ctenopharyngodon idella (grass carp), 3363 nucleotides. RefSeq lists it as uncharacterized. The record is from RefSeq and is a predicted model, not a curated record. NCBI's taxonomy places the organism in Eukaryota, Metazoa, Chordata, Actinopteri, Cypriniformes, Xenocyprididae. The transcript has 4 exons.
GACAAUUUUACUGUCCACCAACUUUGUUCGGUUCUGUCCAUCCAUGUCACAACGUUCCACCUUUGGGAUCUGCCCGUAGUCAGUGAAGAAAACCUUUCUGUUGAAGGCAAUGUUGAGAAAGGGACACACCUGUGAGAUGAGAGAGUAGGUGGUGUAGUCGCCACGGAAAAUCAGCAGCUUUGAUGUCAACAUCAGCGAAUAAACAAACAUUAAUAAAAACUGGACACAUCGAUCGGUGUAAAGCUACAGGUACUUGGAGUAGGACUGUGGUAAAAUGUGUGUUACAUUAAAAAAUAAAAUGUUUUUUUAUGAAUAUUUAACAUAAACUAGGGUGUUAAAGAAAUAUAAAAUGGAAAUGCUGUCAUUGUUUACUCACAUUCUUGCAGCUGUUCUUUUCCAUAAAUUGGAGAGUUUUUAAUUGCCAACUUAAGUAUAUAUAUAUAUAUAUAUAUAUAUAUAUAUAAAAAAAAAACAUACAAUAAAUGUGGUCCAUACAAUGGUCCUAUAUUCCAAUAUUUCUGAAGUUACAAGAAUUUUAGUCACAAGACACCUGACCUCAAACCUGGUGUGAAGCAUGCCAAUCUUGUAAAUGGCAGUAAUACUUAAUUGGGUGAUCUAACAAUUGUAAUUGACCUAGAAUAAAUAUUUAACUCAGUUUCUAUCUGCAUCUCUCCAGGUUUCAGUAGGGUGUUCUGGUUCCUUGCCCUCUAUCACCUCGCCUGUGUGUGCAUGUCCAGACGGGUUUGUGUCACCUCACUGGAGAUCACCCACUAGAUUCAUGCCUAAAAAGAGUCACUACAGCUGUGUGUGUCAGAGAGAGAGAGAGUGUGCAUAUGGGGUGAAGCUAAAAUAGACAUAAGGUAAUCAAGGUUAACUGCAUUUGAAAAGCCCAUCAGAACCCAUAAAGAUUUUUCCUUUCCUUAUAUACACUAUUUGACCUACAUUGAGAUCUGGGGCUGUAUUCACAAAACAUCUUAAGUCUAAAAGUAGCUCCUAACUUGCCGAUUUAGGAGAAACUCUUAAAAAUAACAGGUGUGUCGGUCCUAAUUUUAGGACUCCUAAAUUUUUGCUCUAAGAGUAUUUCACAAAGCAUUUUAGUGUAAAAACUAGCUCCUAAAUCUGUGAAAUGUUAGAAGUAGUCAAGAGGACUCCUAAGUCACUAAGACCAAAUCACAAAGGAUCCUAAUGACCAUUGCUGCCAAUCCGCCUCAGCAAUCCGCCCAAAGCCACUGUACACCAUUGAGGCAAUAGCGAUAGAGCCUUGGGUGCUGAACCUUUUCUUCAUAAAUGCAAUACAUAUUUUGAUUCAUAGAUUUGAAUCUAUGAUAAAACGCCAAAAAUAAAUCUUAUCUAAAUAAAUAAAUAAUGUCCCAUUACCUGUGGCAGUUGUUUUCAUGAGUUCGCACUUACAAAUGAUCGAAUAGAGUAAAAAAAUAUAUUAACUUAUUUGGCGUGCUGUCCAAGGGGAUUGAAGGCUCCGAGCUUGGAAUUUAGAACAAAUCCAGAGUAGACAUGUGCCGAUAUUCGGUAAUGCGAUAUAUCACGAUAGUGAAUACGCACGAUAUUGUUAUCAUGGGCACUUCAAAAUACCGUAAAUAAUAAUUUGUUACCAAUUAUUACAAUUUUUAUAAUGCAUUUAAGAAAACUUUCCCCAUCAACCGUAUAAAAUGCACAACACCGCUGUAUUCUGCGUCAAAAGGACACACGCUCAGAUGUAAACAAGCCCAACGUGCGUGAGAAGCACAUGGCGGAACAAGUGAAGGAGACGCGCUGAAUGAAAGUGCACGUACACUCUCUGACAGCAGAGGGCACUGAUGGAAGAGCAGAAUGCAGCGGUUACCCCAGAAUCCCCCGCAACAGCGCUAGUGAAGUUUUUAAAAUGCUUCAAACAGCCAUUCAUUUUUUUUGUAAUCUCAAUGUUGUUCAUCACAGCACCAAAUUCUUAAUACUUAAAGACUUAAUAGGCUAUUUAUUUUCAAACUUUGAGACAUUAGUUAACAUGUUAAUUCAUUAUUACCAAACUGACAAUGAAAAAUACUUAAGCAUUAAUCAUUCUUAGUUACUGUUAAUUUCUUAGUUACUGUUUAAUAACAUUACUAAAAUCAAAAGAACUUAUUCAAUGGACCUGAGAUGAAACUAACAAUGAUCAGUUGUAUUUCUUAACUAACAUUAACAAAAAAUAAUACUUUCUGUAACAAAUGUGGCUAUUGCUCAAUCUUAGAUAAUGCAUUAAAUAAUGAGACCUUAUUGUUAAGAGCUGUUGUUCUUUAUAGCCUAAUUCUUUUGCACUUUAAUCUGUUUGAAAAUUUUACUUUAUAUAUUUUUUGUGUAUUGUAUUAUUGUAAUUAAACAUUCAGAGUUCUUUUUGUUACUACAAAAAGAGCUCUUAAACCUGUUGUACUGACAACACUUUUUUUGCAACUUAUUUCAAUAUCGUGAUAAUACCGUAUACCGUGAUAAAAUCUUCAGCAAUUAUCGCAACAUGAAAACAAAUGAAUUGGCUGUAUUGGCCUUUGGACGGUUAAACCAAAUGACCUUUUGACACUUCAAAAUCUUUAAAAUACAUCUAUAUGUAGCAAAAUUUAAUUAAAACCUUUUGGAUUCAAUAAAAGAGAUCAAGUUGUACUGCCUUACAUACUUUGGAUGUCAUAUGUUUGUUUUUUAUUAUUAUUAGGGCCUUUAGACAUGAUCCCCAGGACCUCAGCCGAGAGUGAGGAGCGGGAUGGCGGAGGGAUGCAGAAAUCUGUCGAGGUAACUAUAGGUGUAAAAGUGGUGGUAAGGGGGAACCAAUCCUGACCAUCUGCUCUAGCCUUCUUUUGUCCAACUUGGACCUGAAGCGCCGACAGGUCUGACAUUUAGUGCUCCUGGGAUGAUGGUGGAGCGUGUAAGGCAGAAGGGAAUAUGGAGAUGUCCGUGGUUUCCAGCUGAGAUUAAUGAACCAUAACAAGUACCCAUUUCACAUCAUGAAUGAGGACCGGAUGUGAAUUCUCGAGGCCUCACAACAUCACGCAAACCAUCUACAUACCACCACUGCUGAGUGUUUGAAGAGGACUCCAAGAGUGUGAACUGGCAUGCUACUUCUGAAAUUCUUCUUGCCCCUGGAUAACUCUGAAGCUCAUUCAGUGAAGGAGUCUGUUUUGAUAGGUCCCAUAGAGUCUCCAGCAGAAUGGAUCUUUAUUUUGGCCAUCUCUCUUGAGAUCAUGGAAGUGACACUCAAAGCCAUUAAGAGCCCAGAACAACCUUGUCUAGUUAAAAAUUCCAUUAUAUAUUACAUAUUAGACUCGUGUUAAGCAUUUGUUCUAUUUUAACUGAUUGCAUGUUCUUGCUGGAACUCUAACAUCUUCAUGACAACAGUUAAUAAAA